This 409-nucleotide ribosomal RNA is filed under the name uncultured Leucobacter sp. Its description in RNAcentral is "bacterial SSU rRNA". It matches the Rfam family "Bacterial small subunit ribosomal RNA", at positions 355 to 774 of the family's 1533-position model. The record is from RNAcentral. Lineage: Bacteria; Bacillati; Actinomycetota; Actinomycetes; Micrococcales; Microbacteriaceae.
UGGGGAAUAUUGCACAAUGGGCGCAAGCCUGAUGCAGCAACGCCGCGUGAGGGAUGACGGCCUUCGGGUUGUAAACCUCUUUUGUCGGGGAAGAAGCCGUGAGGUGACGGUACCCGGAGAAAAAGCACCGGCUAACUACGUGCCAACAGCCGCGGUAAUACGUAGGGUGCAAGCGUUGUCCGGAAUUAUUGGGCGUAAAGAGCUCGUAGGCGGCUUGUCGCGUCUGCCGUGAAAUCCUCAGGCUCAACCUGAGGUCUGCGGUGGGUACGGGCAGGCUAGAGUGCGGUAGGGGAGAUUGGAAUUCCUGGUGUAGCGGUGGAAUGCGCAGAUAUCAGGAGGAACACCGAUGGCGAAGGCAGAUCUCUGGGCCGUAACUGACGCUGAGGAGCGAAAGCAUGGGGAGCGAACA